Molecule: ribosomal RNA, 497 nt
Filed under: uncultured bacterium
Lineage: Bacteria
Description: partial 16S ribosomal RNA
Rfam family: Bacterial small subunit ribosomal RNA
Source: RNAcentral
GAUGAACGCUGGCGGCGUGCCUAAUACAUGCAAGUCGAGCGAACGGACGAGAAGCUUGCUUCUCUGAUGUUAGCGGCGGACGGGUGAGUAACACGUGGAUAACCUACCUAUAAGACUGGGAUAACUUCGGGAAACCGGCGCUAAUACCGGAUAAUAUUUUGAACCGCAUGGUUCAAAAGUGAGAGACGGUCUUGCUGUCACUUAUAGAUGGAUCCGCGCUGCAUUAGCUAGUUGGUAAGGUAACGGCUUACCAAGGCAACGAUGCAUAGCCGACCUGAGAGGGGGAUAGGCCACACUGGAACUUAGACACGGUCCAGACUCCUACGGGAGGCAGCAGUAGGGAAUCUUCCGCAAUGGGCGAGAGCCUGACGGAGCAACGCCGCGUGAGUGAUGAAGGUCUUCGGAUCGUAAAACUCUGUUAUUAGGGAAGAACAUAUUUGGAAGUAACUGUGCACAUCUUGACGGUACCUAAUAAGAAAGCCACGGCUAACUACGUG